UUAUGUCGUUCAUGUUUGAGAAAACCUGUAUGUGGAUCCUAUAUUUGAAACACAAACAAACAAGUUUGAGUGGGUGUGUCUGUGUGUUUGUGGGAGUGCCUGCUUGUCUUUUUCCCUGCAGGUUGGCCUGAGAAACCCCUUUACCUGAUUUCCCUUCAACUCACCUGCUGCUGAUUACUCUGAUUACUGCUGCUCACUCACUCCUGGACCAGCUCACCAGUAUUUGCUGAGGGGCUGAGCAUCUGCAGACACACACAUGCCAGGAAAAAUAACUGGGAUGUUUACCAGGGCCGGGGCAAUAGGCGAGCAAGGCGGACACAUGCAGAUCGCUUUCUUAUCUGAGGAGUGGUGGCCCCCGCACCUGCCGGCCAUGUAACCCCUGCUUGGUCCCAAGUGGAAUAUGAGGUACAACCCUCAAAGGAUAAGCAGUGCAGAUGAUUCACAAAAGACCCUAAUCUUCUGUCCAAUCGUUGACCUCCUGACCCUCAACGCACCUGCUCCCCAUCAGACGUCAGCCACAGUGCAAGUCAACUCCACACAGGACGUUCUACGCAGAUGGGAGAAUUAGACACAGAUUCCACCACGCCAUGUCAGAGUGGAGGGACGCCUCGAGCUUCGGAGGGAGGUGAAAGGUUCAGAUCAACAAGGCAAACUGGUUUAUUUCUUACUUUUCCCAGCCUGACAUUGCUUAUACUCGCCGCAGCUGUUGGGGAGGUUAGAUUAGUUUGGACAAGCAGUCACUCUGGCAUCCAGGAUGUUUACUCCGAAUGCAUCAUCACACGCCAACAGGAAAAAACAACUGCAACCACAGCAUGCAUCCAUCCUCCCCUUUUCCCUCGGCGUCCACACGUUCUGGGGACUUUUGUUUCAGUCCGCUCGCUCAAAGUGAAGCCCAGUAAAAUAAUUUCCUGAGGACUUAAAGUCGUCUUUUUUAAUUUUAGGAAAAUAGAUGAUAAAGCACAAC
Molecule: long non-coding RNA, 964 nt
Organism: Solea solea (common sole)
Lineage: Eukaryota; Metazoa; Chordata; Actinopteri; Pleuronectiformes; Soleidae
Exons: 5
Source: RefSeq, a predicted model, not a curated record